CUCUUCUGUGGUGAAAAUUAUCUUUUCAUCAUAAGUGUAAAAGAUGACUUUCACUUUUGUCACAUUUUAGGCAUUGCUUUCAAACUCAUGAGUUGUCAUUGACUUGGAGGAAACAACUUGCAUCUUUGUGACACCAAAAAAAAAAGCAGUAGGGAUCAACAGGAAACCGUGUAAAGAGACCAGGAUUGCAUCACCAGGCCUUGCAUGGAAACGUACUUUGGUUACUGCAACAUGUUGUAUUCUACCAGAGACGAUCACGUCAAAACACAAUGAACACAACAACACCUGCUAAACAUUCUUCAAAGACUAUGUCCCACCUCUCUUCAAUAAGUCUGGAGCCAAUAAUUCAGACACCAGUCUUAAGGAUAAUUGAGAGAUUAUACCAGUCCACAGUGACUACGUGUGAGUCCUCAGGUAGUACCCGUGACGAUGCAAG
Long non-coding RNA from Xyrauchen texanus (razorback sucker), 436 nucleotides. RefSeq lists it as uncharacterized. The transcript has 4 exons. The record is from RefSeq and is a predicted model, not a curated record. NCBI's taxonomy places the organism in Eukaryota, Metazoa, Chordata, Actinopteri, Cypriniformes, Catostomidae.